AUGCCCCCACAGCAGGCCUGGACACCAACGGACUGCCAUUAUCUGCAUAAUUUAACAAGAAAGCCCCAAGACUGGAGAACAUGUAUCAUCCCAAAAACGUCCACUUUCAGGUCAUGGUAUGUGCUUUUGCUGUGAAAUCUUUACAGAUUUUAUAAAGUAAAUGUGAGUAUAUCUUAGUACUAUUUUAAGAUGAACACUUUUUGGACUGAAGCAACUUUUAUUUGACUAUCCAUACAUCAUUUUUUUUUUUUUUUUUUUUUAGAAAAUUCUUUGCAUUUCAGGACCAAGAUGAAGGAGAAGUGUAGCACAGUAGUCAGGCUUCUCACUGGCCUGCUUCUCCCCAAGAGACUCCAGACAAGCAACACUUUAACCUCCUGGUAUUUUCACUUCUUCUGACGCUGAACUCUUCAGUGACAGCACAUCAUCGAUGAUGUGAUGAUACAUGAGCGUCCGUCUCUGCGUUAACACCUCACGAUUAUUGCUUCAUAUAAAUGCACACAUAUACUAAAGAUCUCCCCUAAAAGAGACAAGAGGUGGAUGUAUGCAACAUGUUGAAUACUGUACCUGUCAAAACUCUGAAAUUAUUACAAUCACACACUGAAGUAAAGCGGAAAGCCUGUCAGAUGGAGCUGUCUCCUUCUCUGCAUAUAUGACCAUAGCUAAUGAGCAAAUGAGCCAUACACACAAAACUUGUUCUGUGCAAAGUGGUGAGGAGACCAUCAUCAUGGACAAACCUGAAAUUCACUCCAAACUUUAGUCAGAAUUUGAUGUGCCCUCAAACUGCUUGUGUUGAUUUCAGCCUCUACGCUAUAUGCAAUAUAAUCUCUCUCUCUCUCUCUCUCUCUCUCUCUCUCUCUCUCUCUCUCUCUUUAAAAUAACUUUAAAAUAAUAAGAAACUAAAAAAAUUCUGAAAAAAAACAACCAAAAAAAAAAACAAUUAAAAUUAGAAAUUAGUUGUAAUAAAAGUCCUAAAAUUAUUACAACUAAAAGCAAUGAACAGCAUCUUAAAUAUGACAUGAACCAUAUCUAAAAAAAUAAAAAAUAAAAAAUGUGAUACUAAACAUUGUGGCACAUGAAUUCAGUAAAACAGAUGCACUAAAGGAUCAAAUUAGAAAUAAAGAGUGAAAAGGCUGGGCAUCCAUGCAUAGAUAUUGGGAAAUUAUUCUCUUUUAUUUGAAGUACUGUUGAGAGAUAGUACUGUGUUGAGGACGGCCUGAUGUCUUUCAUUAAAAUGCUAAACAGGUGCAAAGGUGGAGUAGGAAGACAGCGUGUUUGAUCCAUGCGCCCUUGCUGUUUCAUCUCGACCAGAAUGGGACUUUAUAAAGAACAAGAUCUG
Molecule: long non-coding RNA, 1336 nt
Organism: Cyprinus carpio carpio
Lineage: Eukaryota; Metazoa; Chordata; Actinopteri; Cypriniformes; Cyprinidae
Source: Ensembl